RNAcentral lists this ribosomal RNA (417 nucleotides) under Triticum aestivum (bread wheat). RNAcentral describes it as "partial small subunit ribosomal RNA". Lineage: Eukaryota; Viridiplantae; Streptophyta; Magnoliopsida; Poales; Poaceae. The record is from RNAcentral.
AUGCUGUGCCCGACGCCACUGCCCGAGGAGGCGAGAACCCCCCAGCUCACGGCGUUCUUGGCCGAGGAGCAGUACGUGGUUCCGGCCAAGGAGCUGAAGCGGCCAAAGGGGAAGGCCAGCAGGCGCCUCCGAGGCACUUCGAAGGCCUGGUCCGAGGACACCCAUGUCUCCUCCACCCACGAGGAGGAGACGAAAGACGAAGAAGAGGAGGCGGUCUCUCCGAAGAGGAAGAGAGCGGCGUCGGAGGACCUCGUGGAGGAGGCACACCACCAAUCCCACAGGAAACUGUUCAAGGCCUCGGGCGUGCCGGUCGGUCAACGACUCGAGCCCGCUCAGGUGACCCUCUCUGACACCUCGGAGGACCCCCUUGCCCAGCUGCGCAGAGCGAGGCCAGCACUGUUUACAGGUAUUGUGUAA